Molecule: long non-coding RNA, 2240 nt
Organism: Phyllopteryx taeniolatus (common seadragon)
Lineage: Eukaryota; Metazoa; Chordata; Actinopteri; Syngnathiformes; Syngnathidae
Exons: 3
Source: RefSeq, a predicted model, not a curated record
CACGUGACGGAGGCGGACCAACCAAGUGCACCGUUUUUUUUUUGUCACGUGCGACACGUAACGACGACUAUCAGCGUUUAUAUUUUUAACGAGUGAGUGAUGAGGCUGAAACUUGAACUUGAGGGUGUUAUGUAUAAUGCGAUUAGUGGCUGUGCCCCACAGGUAGGACGUGACCUUGAGGUGAAAGAGAAAUUCUGGAAGGAAGUAGUUCUGAGCAUCCCAGACAGAGAGAGAGUCGUGAUUGGUGCAGAUCGUAAUGGGCAUGUUGGUGAAGGAAACAUGGGUGAUGAAGAAGUGAUGGAAGAGGCAGGAACAUAGGGUGACCUACAAGAGCGGAGGUAGAAGCACGCAGGUGGAUUACAUCUUGUGCAGACGAUGUCAUCUGAAGGAGGUUACCGACUGUAAGGAAAGGAGAGGAGACGACUUGGUGGUGGAACCUCACAGUACAGGAAAUCAUACAAGGAAAAAGGUUCGCUAAGAAGAAGCGGGACACUGAGAGGACCGAGGAGAGACGAAAGGAAUACAUUGAGUUGCGACACAGGGCAAAGGUAGAGGUGGCGAAGGCCAAACAAGAGGCAGAUGGUGACAUGUAUGGCAGGUUGGACACUAAAGAAGGAGAAAAGGAUCUAUACAGGCUGGCCAGACAGAGGGAAAGAGAUGGGAAGGAUGUGCAGCAGGUUACGGUGAUUAAGGAUAGAGAUGGAAAUGUGUUGACUGGUGCCAAGGGAGAGUAACAGAGGCAAGUGUGGUGGACCAGGAAGUGGCAAUGAUUAGUAAAGGGGAAGUUAGAAAGGCAUUAAAGAGGAUCAACAAUGGAAAGGCAGUGGAGGUAUGGAAGCAUCUGUGGAGUUCUUGACCUUGUUCAAUAGAAUUCUACCACGUGAGAAGAUGCCUGAGGAAUGGAGGAAAAGUGUGCUAGUGCCCAUUUUUAAGAACAAGGGUGAUGUGCAGAGCUGUGGGGACUAUAGAGGAAUAAUUGAUGAGCCACACAAUGAAGUUCUGGGAAAGAGUGCUGGAGGCUAGACUCAGGACGGAAGUGAGUAUUUGCAAGCAACAGUAUGGUUUCAUGCCUCGACAGAUUACCACAGAUGCAUUAUUUGCCUUGAGGAUGUUGAUGGAAAAGUACAGAGAAGGUCAGAAGGAGCUACAUUGUAUCUCUGUAGAUCAGGGAUCAGCCCUGAGCCCCUUCCUGUUUGCAGCGGUGAUGGAUUGGCUGACAGAUGAGGUUAGACUGGAAUCCCCGUGGACCAUGAUGUUUGCAGAUGACAUUUUGAUCUGCAGUGAAAGCAGGGAGCAGGUGGAGGAACAGUUAGAAAGAUGGAGGCAUGCACUGGAAAGCAGAGGAAUGAAGAUGAAUGAGAGGGAUGGUGGGGGAAGAGUGAGGCUACAGGGAGAAGAGAUAGCAAGGGUGGAGGACUUGAAAUACUUGGGGUCAACAGUCCAGAGCAAUGGUGAGUGUGGUCAGGAAGUGACGAAACGGGUCCAAGCAGGUUGGAACGGGUGGAGGAAGAGUCGCUGCUGGGAUGAAGGGCAAAGUUUAUAAAACAGUGGUGAGGCCAGCCAUGAUGGACAGAUCAGAGACAGUGGAACUGAAGAGACGAUAGGAAGCAGAGCUGGAGGUGGCCGAAAUGAAGAUGUUGAGGUUCGCUCUCGGAGUGACCAGGUUGGAUAAAAUUAGAAAUGAGCUCAUCAGAGGGACAGCCGAGGGUCGAUGUUUUGGAGAGGACGUUAGACAGAGCAGACUUGGAUGGUUUGGACACGUUCAGAGGAGAAAUAGUGAGUAUAUUGGUAGCAGGAUGAUGAGGAUGGAGCUGCCAGGCAAGAGAGCUAGCGGAAGACCAAAGAGAAGGUUGGUGGAUGUCUUGAGAGAAGACAUGAAGAAGAUGAGGGCAGUUGGUGUGAGAGAGGAGGAUGCAGGAGAUAGGCUUACAUGGAAAAGGAUGACACCCUGUGGGACAAGCUCAAAGGAAAAGAUUUCGAACAAGUCACUCACAAAUACAAGCGUUGGCCAAACGUAGGUAUGUACUUUUUCAAUCAACGCAUUCAAUUAAGGUGGGUUAGUAGGAUUAACGAAGAGAAUAAGGGUAGGGAUCAAGGAUGGUAUAAAAGAAAUAAAGGAUGAAUAAAUGAAAGAAAAGAAAGGAGGGAUGGCAGAAGGUUGGAAGGAAACAUGGAUGUGAGUGGAAGGAGGGAAAGUAGCAUGGUAGAAAGGAAAACAAUACCUUGAACUGCUUGACCAC